This 820-nucleotide long non-coding RNA is filed under the name Ananas comosus (pineapple). RNAcentral's name for it is "long non-coding RNA (ACOM_LNC044097)". Lineage: Eukaryota; Viridiplantae; Streptophyta; Magnoliopsida; Poales; Bromeliaceae. The record is from RNAcentral.
AUCGCCCGAGGGGGAGCGACCGCCCUCGAGCUCGGAACUCAUAGCAAGUAUGAUCAUAUCCUUAACUCAAAGAAUUUAUAAAUUCAAUCUUGACUUUACACUAGCUCUAGUGUUCAUUACAUCACUUUAUGUUGCUACUCUAGCAAUCAUUGUUCUUUACCAUUCAUUACUCUUGCUAUCUCUACCAAUUAUAUUCUUUACAUUCUUUACUUUUGGUUACCUCUAGCACUUCUUGUUCUUUACUCCCCACAUUACUUUAACUUUAAACAUUGUCAUUUUUAUCAUUCUUUACAUUACAUUGGUUCUUUACCUCACACUAUCUCUAGUGUCAUUUCACUUUAACUUUAUCGAAUGCCACUCGAUCUAUGUCAUUGUGUCACUCUGUUCUUUUGCUCACGUUGGGUGCUCACUUUUCUCUCAUGCAUACACAUAGGGUUUUCGACAUUCACAUAGUUCUCAUUCGUCAUAUUUUGCAAGUUGCACUCACAAUCAUGCAUCAUCACAUUUCCAUCAUUACUUUACCCUAAAAUGCAUGCAACAAUAUAAGUACACAUGCUCAAAUGAAUGACACAUUAGGCAUAGAGAGAAGUUCAAUAAGUUUGAGAAGCACCACCCACCUCGUAGGCUUUUAAAGGUGCUCCGAUGAUUUUCUUGAGAUUUUUAGGCUUCUCGUUCUUUACCUGCGGCAAAACGAAGCCCUAUUAGGCCAUUUUGCUCAUAUCUUUACAUUGGCUUUUCGUAACAUUUUUCCGAGUGCACCAACGCGUCGGAAAUACCCCCAAUUAGGUUUCUAGAGGGUCAAUUUCACUUAGGAACCCCC